GACACGCUGGCGGCGUGCCUAACACAUGCAAGUCGAGCGAAUGAAGUUCCUUCGGGAACGGAUUUAGCGGCGGACGGGUGAGUAACACGUGGGCAACCUGCCUCAUAGAGGGGAAUAGCCUUCCGAAAGGGAGAUUAAUACCGCAUAAGAUUGUAGUACCGCAUGGUACAGCAAUUAAAGGAGUAAUCCGCUAUGAGAUGGGCCCGCGGCGCAUUAGCUAGUUGGUGAGGUAACGGCUCACCAAGGCGACGAUGCGUAGCCGACCUGAGAGGGUGAUCGGCCACAUUGGGACUGAGACACGGCCCAGACUCCUACGGGAGGCAGCAGUGGGGAAUAUUGCACAAUGGGGGAAACCCUGAUGCAGCAACGCCGCGUGAGUGAUGACGGCCUUCGGGUUGUAAAGCUCUGUCUUCAGGGACGAUAAUGACGGUACCUGAGGAGGAAGCCACGGCUAACUACGUG
This 462-nucleotide ribosomal RNA is filed under the name uncultured bacterium. RNAcentral's name for it is "bacterial SSU rRNA". It matches the Rfam family "Bacterial small subunit ribosomal RNA", at positions 33 to 507 of the family's 1533-position model. The record is from RNAcentral.